GUUUGAUCAUGGCUCAGAACGAACGCUGGCGGCAUGCCUAACACAUGCAAGUCGAACGGGAUCCGGACUUCGGUUCGGUGAGAGUGGCGGACGGGUGAGUAACGCGUGGGAACCUGCCCAAUGGUCUGGGAUAACCGCGGGAAACUGCGGCUAAUACCGGAUAAGCCCCCUGGCAACGGGGGGAAAGAUUUGUCGCCGAUGGAGGGGCCCGCGUCAGAUUAGGUAGUUGGUGGGGUAAUGGCCUACCAAGCCUACGAUCUGUAGCUGGUCUGAGAGGAUGAUCAGCCACACUGGGACUGAGAUACGGCCCAGACUCCUACGGGAGGCAGCAGUGGGGAAUAUUGGACAAUGGGGGCAACCCUGAUCCAGCAAUGCCGCGUGAGUGAUGAAGGCCUUAGGGUUGUAAAGCUCUUUUGGCGGGGACGAUGAUGACGGUACCCGCAGAAUAAGCCCCGGCUAACUUCGUGCCAGCAGCCGCG
This 479-nucleotide ribosomal RNA is filed under the name uncultured bacterium. Its description in RNAcentral is "bacterial SSU rRNA". It matches the Rfam family "Bacterial small subunit ribosomal RNA", at positions 11 to 519 of the family's 1533-position model. The record is from RNAcentral.